CCUACGGGUGGCAGCAGUGAGGAAUAUUGGUCAAUGGACGAGAGUCUGAACCAGCCAAGUAGCGUGAAGGAUGACUGCCCUAUGGGUUGUAAACUUCUUUUAUAUGGGAAUAAAACGUUCCACGUGUGGGAUUUUGUAUGUACCAUAUGAAUAAGGAUCGGCUAACUCCGUGCCAGCAGCCGCGGUAAUACGGAGGAUCCGAGCGUUAUCCGGAUUUAUUGGGUUUGAAGGGAGCGUAGGUGGAUUGUUAAGUCAGUUGUGAAAGUUUGCGGCUCAACCGUAAAAUUGCAGUUGAAACUGGCAGUCUUGAGUACAGUAGAGGUGGGCGGAAUUCGUGGUGUAGCGGUGAAAUGCUUAGAUAUCACGAAGAACUCCGAUUGCGAAGGCAGUUCACUGGACUGCAACUGACACUGAGGCUCGAAAGUGUGGGUAUCAAACAGGAUUAGAUACCCCUGUAGUC
This 460-nucleotide ribosomal RNA is filed under the name uncultured bacterium. Its description in RNAcentral is "partial 16S ribosomal RNA". It matches the Rfam family "Bacterial small subunit ribosomal RNA", at positions 338 to 795 of the family's 1533-position model. The record is from RNAcentral.